Molecule: ribosomal RNA, 429 nt
Filed under: Bacteroidota bacterium
Lineage: Bacteria; Pseudomonadati; Bacteroidota
Description: Bacteroidetes bacterium partial 16S ribosomal RNA
Rfam family: Bacterial small subunit ribosomal RNA
Source: RNAcentral
UAGGGAAUCUUCCGCAAUGGACGCAAGUCUGACGGAGCAACGCCGCGUGAGUGAAGAAGGAUUUCGGUUCGUAAAACUCUGUUGUUAGAGAAGAACAGCGCAUAGAGUAACUGUUAUGCGUGUGACGGUAUCUAACCAGAAAGCCACGGCUAACUACGUGCCAGCAGCCGCGGUAAUACGUAGUUGGCAAGCGUUGUCCGGAUUUAUUGGGCGUAAAGCGAGCGCAGGCGGUCAAUUAAGUCUGAUGUGAAAGCCCCCGGCUCAACCGGGGAGGGUCAUUGGAAACUGGUUGACUUGAGUGCAGAAGAGGAGAGUGGAAUUCCAUGUGUAGCGGUGAAAUGCGUAGAUAUAUGGAGGAACACCAGUGGCGAAGGCGACUCUCUGGUCUGUAACUGACGCGGAGGCUCGAAAGCGUGGGUAGCAAACAGG